Molecule: ribosomal RNA, 472 nt
Filed under: uncultured bacterium
Lineage: Bacteria
Description: partial 16S ribosomal RNA
Rfam family: Bacterial small subunit ribosomal RNA
Source: RNAcentral
GAUGAACGCUGGCGGCGUGCCUAAUACAUGCAAGUCGAGCGAACGGACGAGAAGCUUGCUUCUCUGAUGUUAGCGGCGGACGGGUGAGUAACACGUGGAUAACCUACCUAUAAGACUGGGAUAACUUCGGGAAACCGGAGCUAAUACCGGAUAAUAUUUUGAACCGCAUGGUUCAAAAGUGAAAGACGGUCUUGCUGUAACUUAUAGUUGGGUCCGCGCUGGAUUAGUUAGUUGGUAAGGUAACGGCUUACCAAGGCAACGAUCUAUAGCCGGCCAGAGCGGAUGCGCAGCAACACUGGGAGGGAGCCACGGCCAGGACUCCUACGGGAGGGAGCAGAGGGGAAUAUGAGAAACGGGGCGAAAGCGUGAACGAGCAAUGCCGCGUAAAUGUUGAAGGUCUGAGGGUAGUAAAGCUCUUUUAACCGGGACGAUAAUGACAGUACCGGAAGAAUAAGCCCCGGCUAACUCCGUG